UUGGAGGGCAAGUCUGGUGCCAGCAGCCGCGGUAAUUCCAGCUCCAAUAGCGUAUAUUAAAGUUGUUGCAGUUAAAAAGCUCGUAGUUGAAUUUCGGGGUUCAUCCGUUGGUCGGGCUUUUUGGUCUGUACUGGCGUGAUGGAUUCCUACCUUCUGAAUAACCAGCAUGUCAUUAAUUUGGUGCGCUGGGGAAGCAGGACUGUUACCUUGAAAAAAUUAGAGUGCUUAAAGCAGGCUAUCGCCUGAAUACAUUAGCAUGGAAUAAUGAAAUAGGACGGCAUGGUUCUAUUUUGUUGGUUUCUAGGAUCACCGUAAUGAUUAAUAGGGAUAGUUGGGGGCAUUAGUAUUCAAUUGUCAGAGGUGAAAUUCUUGGAUUUAUUGAAGACUAACUUCUGCGAAAGCAUUUGCCAAGGAUGUUUUCAUUAAUCAAGAACGAAAGUUAGGGGAUCGAAGACGAUCAGAUUCCGUCGUAGCCUUAACCAUAAACUAUGCCGACUAGGGAUCGGACGAUGUUAAUUUUUUAAUGACUCGUUCGGCGCCUUACGGGAAAC
RNAcentral lists this ribosomal RNA (551 nucleotides) under uncultured Acaulospora. Its description in RNAcentral is "SSU rRNA". It matches the Rfam family "Eukaryotic small subunit ribosomal RNA", at positions 548 to 1098 of the family's 1831-position model. Lineage: Eukaryota; Fungi; Glomeromycota; Glomeromycetes; Diversisporales; Acaulosporaceae. The record is from RNAcentral.